GGACGAACGCUGGCGGCGUGCUUAACCCAUGCAAGUCGAACGGAAAGGCCCUGCUUUUGUGGGGUGCUCGAGUGGCGACCGGGUGAGUAACACGUGAGUAACCUGCCCUUGACUUUGGGAUAACUUCAGGAAACUGGGGCUAAUACCGGAUAGGAGCUCCUGCUGCAUGGUGGGGGUUGGAAAGUUUCGGCGGUUGGGGAUGGACUCGCGGCUUAUCAGCUUGUUGGUGGGGUAGUGGCUUACCAAGGCUUUGACGGGUAGCCGGCCUGAGAGGGUGACCGGCCACAUUGGGACUGAGAUACGGCCCAGACUCCUACGGGAGGCAGCAGUGGGGAAUAUUGCACAAUGGGCGGAAGCCUGAUGCAGCAACGCCGCGUGCGGGAUGACGGCCUUCGGGUUGUAAACCGCUUUCGCCUGUGACGAAGCGUGAGUGACGGUAAUGGGUAAAGAAGCACCGGCUAACUACGUG
Molecule: ribosomal RNA, 469 nt
Filed under: uncultured bacterium
Lineage: Bacteria
Description: partial 16S ribosomal RNA
Rfam family: Bacterial small subunit ribosomal RNA
Source: RNAcentral